UACGUAGGGGGCAAGCGUUGUCCGGAAUCAUUGGGCGUAAAGCGCACGUAGGCGGCUUUCUAAGUCAGGGGUGAAAUCCUGGAGCUCAACUCCAGAACUGCCUUUGAUACUGGAGAGCUUGAGUCCGGAAGAGGUGAGUGGAACUCCGAGUGUAGAGGUGAAAUUCGUAGAUAUUCGGAAGAACACCAGUGGCGAAGGCGGCUCACUGGUCCGGUACUGACGCUGAGGUGCGAAAGCGUGGGGAGCAAACAGG
RNAcentral lists this ribosomal RNA (253 nucleotides) under uncultured bacterium. RNAcentral's name for it is "partial 16S ribosomal RNA". It matches the Rfam family "Bacterial small subunit ribosomal RNA", at positions 524 to 776 of the family's 1533-position model. The record is from RNAcentral.